UGUCAAGAAAUUUGUAAUGUUUUGAACAACCCACAAUAAAAAAUUAAAAAUAAAAAAAAAAGAAACCCAGAUCUUCCAGAAUUGCAGAAUUUUUAGAUCUUCAGAAAUAAGAAAGAAAAGAAAAUCAAAACUUUCUAACUGCGGGUAAACUUAGUAUUCGAAUUCUUUAUAAUUAUAAGAUCAAUGAUACUAAGUCCUUUAUUUCAUCAUUAUGAUUUUUUUAAGAAUCACUGUCUAAUUUUUAAUAUCUUAUCACUCACCUCAAAUAACUCUUGUGAGUCUAAGAUAGAAGGUCUAUGCAAAAUUUAUGUCAAAAUACCUAAGUAUAUAAGAGCACAUAGGACUUUUUAAAUUAAGAGAUUAUAAUACCUGUUUAAAGACACUAUUGACCUUCCAUGUCUGCAGGCUCAACCAACCACUGAUUAAAAAAAAUAUUUAAAAAAAUGUAUCUGUACUGGAUAUACAGAUUUUUUUCAUGUUAUCAUUCCCUAAACAAAGAUUAUAAUAAUUAUUUAUGUAACAUUUACAUUGUAUUAGGUAUUAUAAGUAAUCUAGAAAUUAUCUGAAGUGUCCAGGAGGAUAUGCAUAACUUUUAUGUGAAUUAUACAUCAUUUUAUAUAAGGGAACAUAGGUUUUGAUACUAAGGGAUGUAUGCACCACUUACCCUUUGCUCAAUGACUUUAUAAGGCAUGUUUACCUAAAAAUCCCCUCUCAAAUUAGUUAAGUUUAAGCAGAUUUUAUCAUAGAAAAGUUUUCAUUUGGAUAACCCAAAAUCUUCUGUAGUGGUUUCUGGCCAUUCCUCCUUUAUUGCUGUCCCCAUUCUUUGUAUGAACUUUCUUCCAGCUUAUUGAACACUUUCUUUUACCAAUAGUUAUGAAGAGGGAGCAAAAUAUUCACUGAAUUGACCAAACUCUGAAGAGGAUAUUUUAUUUCUGUUCAAUGGGUUAUCUUGAUUUAGGAAAAAAAAAAUCAUGAUUAAACUUAUAAAGAUUGCCUUAGUCUGUUCAGGCUGAUGUGAAAAAAUACCACAGGUUGGGUACGAUAGAAAUAACUGAAGUCUAUUACUUACCCCAAAUCAUGUUUAGAUGCUGGAACAUUCAAGAUGGAGGGACUGACAGAUUCAGUGUCUGAUGAGGACUUCUCUCUGCUUCCAAGGUGGUACCGGACAUGGUAGAGGAGGUAGAAUUUGUGUUCUCACAUGCCAUAAGGCAAAAGGCAUUUCCUUGAACCCUCAAAAAGGACACUAAUCCCAUUCACGAUUGUAGUGUUCUUUGGCCUGAUUACCUCCUGGUAUGGUCUGGAUCUGAAUGUUUCCCAAAGACUCAUGUAUUGAAGACCUGGUCCCC
Molecule: long non-coding RNA, 1346 nt
Filed under: Marmota monax (woodchuck)
Lineage: Eukaryota; Metazoa; Chordata; Mammalia; Rodentia; Sciuridae
Source: RNAcentral